Molecule: transfer RNA, 85 nt
Filed under: Tepidiphilus baoligensis
Lineage: Bacteria; Pseudomonadati; Pseudomonadota; Hydrogenophilia; Hydrogenophilales; Hydrogenophilaceae
Description: tRNA-Leu
Rfam family: tRNA
About the family: Transfer RNA (tRNA) molecules are approximately 80 nucleotides in length. Their secondary structure includes four short double-helical elements and three loops (D, anti-codon, and T loops).
Source: RNAcentral
GCCCGGGUGGCGAAAUUGGUAGACGCACCAGAUUUAGGUUCUGGCGCCGCAAGGCGUGGGGGUUCGAGUCCCCCCUCGGGCACCA